GGUGAGGUGACCGAGCGGCUUAAGGUGCACGCCUGGAACGCGUGUGUAGGGAAACUUACCGAGGGUUCGAAUCCCUCCCUCACCGCCA
Molecule: transfer RNA, 88 nt
Filed under: Pseudomonadota bacterium
Lineage: Bacteria; Pseudomonadati; Pseudomonadota
Description: Proteobacteria bacterium tRNA-Ser
Rfam family: tRNA
About the family: Transfer RNA (tRNA) molecules are approximately 80 nucleotides in length. Their secondary structure includes four short double-helical elements and three loops (D, anti-codon, and T loops).
Source: RNAcentral